CAGUCCAGCUUUCAAUUUCUGCUCCUGCCAAAACUGUGGCAGAGAGCUUGGGGCUGGACGUAAAUAAAACACUCUUAUCUUAGGAGGGCUUCUUCAAGUGUUGAACUGCCCUCAAAGGCGCAAGAGAACAUC
Non-coding RNA from Pantherophis guttatus, 132 nucleotides. RefSeq annotates it as small Cajal body-specific RNA 11. NCBI's taxonomy places the organism in Eukaryota, Metazoa, Chordata, Lepidosauria, Squamata, Colubridae. The record is from RefSeq and is a predicted model, not a curated record.